Molecule: ribosomal RNA, 1529 nt
Filed under: Pseudomonas sp. PH-03
Lineage: Bacteria; Pseudomonadati; Pseudomonadota; Gammaproteobacteria; Pseudomonadales; Pseudomonadaceae
Description: bacterial SSU rRNA
Rfam family: Bacterial small subunit ribosomal RNA
Source: RNAcentral
AGAGUUUGAUCCUGGCUCAGAUUGAACGCUGGCGGCAGGCCUAACACAUGCAAGUCGAGCGGUAGAGAGAAGCUUGCUUCUCUUGAGAGCGGCGGACGGGUGAGUAAUGCCUAGGAAUCUGCCUGGUAGUGGGGGAUAACGUUCGGAAACGGACGCUAAUACCGCAUACGUCCUACGGGAGAAAGCAGGGGACCUUCGGGCCUUGCGCUAUCAGAUGAGCCUAGGUCGGAUUAGCUAGUUGGUGAGGUAAUGGCUCACCAAGGCGACGAUCCGUAACUGGUCUGAGAGGAUGAUCAGUCACACUGGAACUGAGACACGGUCCAGACUCCUACGGGAGGCAGCAGUGGGGAAUAUUGGACAAUGGGCGAAAGCCUGAUCCAGCCAUGCCGCGUGUGUGAAGAAGGUCUUCGGAUUGUAAAGCACUUUAAGUUGGGAGGAAGGGCAGUUACCUAAUACGUGAUUGUUUUGACGUUACCGACAGAAUAAGCACCGGCUAACUCUGUGCCAGCAGCCGCGGUAAUACAGAGGGUGCAAGCGUUAAUCGGAAUUACUGGGCGUAAAGCGCGCGUAGGUGGUUAGUUAAGUUGGAUGUGAAAUCCCCGGGCUCAACCUGGGAACUGCAUUCAAAACUGACUGACUAGAGUAUGGUAGAGGGUGGUGGAAUUUCCUGUGUAGCGGUGAAAUGCGUAGAUAUAGGAAGGAACACCAGUGGCGAAGGCGACCACCUGGACUGAUACUGACACUGAGGUGCGAAAGCAUGGGGAGCAAACAGGAUUAGAUACCCUGGUAGUCCACGCCGUAAACGAUGUCAACUAGCCGUUGGGAGCCUUGAGCUCUUAGUGGCGCAGCUAACGCAUUAAGUUGACCGCCUGGGGAGUACGGCCGCAAGGUUAAAACUCAAAUGAAUUGACGGGGGCCCGCACAAGCGGUGGAGCAUGUGGUUUAAUUCGAAGCAACGCGAAGAACCUUACCAGGCCUUGACAUCCAAUGAACUUUCUAGAGAUAGAUUGGUGCCUUCGGGAACAUUGAGACAGGUGCUGCAUGGCUGUCGUCAGCUCGUGUCGUGAGAUGUUGGGUUAAGUCCCGUAACGAGCGCAACCCUUGUCCUUAGUUACCAGCACGUUAUGGUGGGCACUCUAAGGAGACUGCCGGUGACAAACCGGAGGAAGGUGGGGAUGACGUCAAGUCAUCAUGGCCCUUACGGCCUGGGCUACACACGUGCUACAAUGGUCGGUACAGAGGGUUGCCAAGCCGCGAGGUGGAGCUAAUCCCACAAAACCGAUCGUAGUCCGGAUCGCAGUCUGCAACUCGACUGCGUGAAGUCGGAAUCGCUAGUAAUCGCGAAUCAGAAUGUCGCGGUGAAUACGUUCCCGGGCCUUGUACACACCGCCCGUCACACCAUGGGAGUGGGUUGCACCAGAAGUAGCUAGUCUAACCUUCGGGGGGACGGUUACCACGGUGUGAUUCAUGACUGGGGUGAAGUCGUAACAAGGUAGCCGUAGGGGAACCUGCGGCUGGAUCACCUCCUU